AAGUGCUAGGAUUACAGGCGUGAGCCACUGUGCCCGGCCACAACUGACCUGAUUCAAAGGAUGGGUCAGAAGUAUGUGCUCUGGAAUCAGGCAAAUCUGCUUCAAAUUCCAGUUCUACCAUUUAGAUAGCAGGUUAUCUGCAGAUACAGAAACCAUCUAAGAGGUCUGGUGUUGGAUACAACUAUUUGUACCUUGUAAAAUUCUUACCUCUAAAUCAUUAAAAAACAAAUGAGUAUCAGCAAGAUUAAAAAUCAUUUCUUCCAUGCGGAGUCCAAGGGUUACAGCCAUGGGGGGAUCCUGUAAAGAAAAUGUACACAUAAUGAGCUUACUAAGUCACUGGGACAGCUAAUUCUAAGUGAGCAGAUUACAGCACUGCAUUUUUCCAGCUAAAGGACUCACAGAUCCAAGAAUCCCAGAAAGAUGACUGGACAUUUGGUGGGUGUAGCCUUAGCAACGCUGGGCACCCUCCAUCUUGCCAAACUGCUGUGAGGGAGCUGCCAGCACCUGCAAUUCCACUGUUUUAUCAGGCAUUUGAGAAUGAAACAUACUUCUGGAUUGAACCCAAGUUUUAUACAGAGAUGUUUGCUCAUUUUCAUUAGAUGUUUGUAGAAUUAUGGGCACCUUAUGAAUCAAGAGUUGCUUUUUUUUUUAUUUGCAUUUAAGUGUGGUGAGUGUUGAGUUUAGGGUCUAAAAUGAGGUGAUAGCAAAAUCUUGGAUAGAGGAAAAAAGUGGGAUAAUAAAGGCACUAACAGAG
RNAcentral lists this non-coding RNA (754 nucleotides) under Pongo abelii (Sumatran orangutan). The record is from RNAcentral. Lineage: Eukaryota; Metazoa; Chordata; Mammalia; Primates; Hominidae.